GCCCGGGUAGCUCAGUCGGUAGAGCAUUGGACUUUUAAUCCAAGGGUCCGGGAA
RNAcentral lists this transfer RNA (54 nucleotides) under Oryctes borbonicus. It matches the Rfam family "tRNA", at positions 1 to 53 of the family's 71-position model. Rfam says of the family: Transfer RNA (tRNA) molecules are approximately 80 nucleotides in length. Their secondary structure includes four short double-helical elements and three loops (D, anti-codon, and T loops). The record is from Rfam by way of RNAcentral. Lineage: Eukaryota; Metazoa; Arthropoda; Insecta; Coleoptera; Scarabaeidae.